This 406-nucleotide ribosomal RNA is filed under the name uncultured bacterium. Its description in RNAcentral is "partial 16S ribosomal RNA". It matches the Rfam family "Bacterial small subunit ribosomal RNA", at positions 30 to 526 of the family's 1533-position model. The record is from RNAcentral.
AUUGAACGCUGGCGGCAAGCCUAACACAUGCAAGUAGAACGAGUGGCGGACGGGUGAGUAAUGUCUGGGAAACUGCCUGAUGGAGGGGGAUAACUACUGGAAACGGUAGCUAAUACCGCAUACCAUCGGAUGUUCCCUGGUGGGAUUAGCUAGUAGGUGGGGGAAAGGCUCACCUAGGUGACGCUCCCUAGCUGGUCUGAGAGGAUGACCAGCCACCCGGGAACUGGGACACGGUCCAGACUCCUACGGGAGGCAGCAGUGGGGAAUAUUGCACAAUGGGCGCAAGCCUGAUGCAGCCAUGCCGCGUGGAUGAAGAAGGCCUUCGGGUUGUAAAGUACUUUCAGCAGGGAGGCGUUACCCGCACAAGAAGCACCGGCUAACUCCGUGCCAGCCGCCGCGGUAAUAC